RNAcentral lists this ribosomal RNA (750 nucleotides) under Lactobacillus sp. RNAcentral describes it as "bacterial SSU rRNA". It matches the Rfam family "Bacterial small subunit ribosomal RNA", at positions 69 to 797 of the family's 1533-position model. The record is from RNAcentral. Lineage: Bacteria; Bacillati; Bacillota; Bacilli; Lactobacillales; Lactobacillaceae.
AUUGGUGCUUGCAUCAUGAUUUACAUUUGAGUGAGUGGCGAACUGGUGAGUAACACGUGGGAAACCUGCCCAGAAGCGGGGGAUAACACCUGGAAACAGAUGCUAAUACCGCAUAACAACUUGGACCGCAUGGUCCGAGUUUGAAAGAUGGCUUCGGCUAUCACUUUUGGAUGGUCCCGCGGCGUAUUAGCUAGAUGGUGGGGUAACGGCUCACCAUGGCAAUGAUACGUAGCCGACCUGAGAGGGUAAUCGGCCACAUUGGGACUGAGACACGGCCCAAACUCCUACGGGAGGCAGCAGUAGGGAAUCUUCCACAAUGGACGAAAGUCUGAUGGAGCAACGCCGCGUGAGUGAAGAAGGGUUUCGGCUCGUAAAACUCUGUUGUUAAAGAAGAACAUAUCUAAGAGUAACUGUUCAGGUAUUGACGGUAUUUAACCAGAAAGCCACGGCUAACUACGUGCCAGCAGCCGCGGUAAUACGUAGGUGGCAAGCGUUGUCCGGAUUUAUUGGGCGUAAAGCGAGCGCAGGCGGUUUUUUAAGUCUGAUGUGAAAGCCUUCGGCUCAACCGAAGAAGUGCAUCGGAAACUGGGAAACUUGAGUGCAGAAGAGGACAGUGGAACUCCAUGUGUAGCGGUGAAAUGCGUAGAUAUAUGGAAGAACACCAGUGGCGAAGGCGGCUGUCUGGUCUGUAACUGACGCUUAGGCUCGAAAGUAUGGGUAGCAAACAGGAUUAGAUACCCUGGUAGUCCA